UACGUAGGGUGCAAGCGUUGUCCGGAAUUAUUGGGCGUAAAGGGCUCGUAGGCGGUUUGUCGCGUCGGGAGUGAAAACCCAGGGCUUAACUCUGGGCUGGCUUUCGAUACGGGCAGACUAGAGGUAUGCAGGGGAGAACGGAAUUCCUGGUGUAGCGGUGAAAUGCGCAGAUAAUCAGGAGGAACACCGGUGGCGAAGGCGGUUCUCUGGG
This 211-nucleotide ribosomal RNA is filed under the name uncultured bacterium. Its description in RNAcentral is "partial 16S ribosomal RNA". It matches the Rfam family "Bacterial small subunit ribosomal RNA", at positions 524 to 733 of the family's 1533-position model. The record is from RNAcentral.